RNAcentral lists this small RNA (571 nucleotides) under Pongo abelii (Sumatran orangutan). Its description in RNAcentral is "processed transcript". Lineage: Eukaryota; Metazoa; Chordata; Mammalia; Primates; Hominidae. The record is from RNAcentral.
GGAGCUGCGCGGCCAUGGACGUCGGCGCCGACGAGUUCGAGGAGAGCCUCCCUCUGCUGCAGGAGCUCGUCCAGGAGGCCGACUUCGUCUCGACAUAGAGUUCACGGGCCUUCGUUCUAACCUGUCUGGGCCUCAGCAGAUCAGUCUUUUUGAUUUGCCAUCGGAGUGGUAUCUAAAGACCCGUCAGAGUGUUCAGCAAUUUACAAUCUGUCAGAUUGGAUUGUCUGUGUUUUCCGCUAUUGAAGGAGAGGCAAACAAGUAUACAGCCCAUUCAUGUAACUUCUAUCUCUUCCCUACAACGUUUGGGAUUUUGGACUCAGAAUUCUCUUUCCAGGCUUCCAGUGUUCAGUUUUUGAAUCAGUAUGGCUUCAACUAUAACAAGUUUCUCAAAAAUGGAAUCCCAUAUAUGAAUGAAGAACAGGAGAAGAAAAUUAGACACGAUAUCCUGACUGGGAACUGGAGAGUUCGCAGAUAGAGACUUUAUCACCCCUGAAAGCUGAAUAAAGAAGACGGUCCUGAUAGCAAUGCUUGGUAUUGGCUAGAUACCAAUAGCUUUUCCUCCAUGCAUCCU